Molecule: long non-coding RNA, 3270 nt
Filed under: Homo sapiens (human)
Lineage: Eukaryota; Metazoa; Chordata; Mammalia; Primates; Hominidae
Description: cancer susceptibility 2
Source: RNAcentral
GGGCUGCAGGGCUGCGGGCGCUUGGUUCGGCCUGGCCCGGCCGGCGGCUCCUAACACCGGGCGGGCGGCUGCGGCGGCACUUCCGGGUUGGCCUUCUCCAUGUUGGUCUCGGGAACGUGAAGGGGCGGGGCCUCGAGGUCAGGGGUCAGCACCUCCCUGGUUGCCGUGGCGACUGGAGGCGCGCGACGCGGGCGCAAUGGCGGGGACCCGGGGCUUGAUGCUGCUUGGGCCUGGCCCAGUGGCGGGUCCUAGGGACGUGGGUACCUGCAGAGGCCGGCAGAUGGAGAUUCAGAAACAUAAGGACAACAAGAAACUUCCCCAAGGUAUCAUUAUAGUCUUUAGACUUCAGACACACACCACACCUCAAAUAUAUACACAACUGAAAGGAAAAUUAAGGAAGUUUUUCAAAGAACCCUAUUCCGAGUAAGAAGUGUGUUGCAUGAAUUUCUAAGAGCCAGAAAAUGCAUGACACAGGAGAAGAUGUACCCUCAUCUGUUCAGUGAGAGAUGUGCAAAUCAACAUCAACACAGAACUGCUGAAGAAAAAAAAUAUGUCUCUGAAAAGCAACUUAUUCACUGGAGAUGUGAGGAGCCAUCCGCACAUCACAAUUCUAUAGACAUCAAACGCAUGAAGCAUUUCGGAUCUGCUUUAAGACUGAGGCAGACUUUCCAUCUGGACACAGCCGACCAUCCAUGUGUCAUUACAAUGAAUCCAGCACUUCCCUGGAAGCUGGAAGGGUCAAAUUCAACUUCAACUCUGCCACUUCCUGCUUAACUUGCUGUUUAACCUUGGGCAAGCUGCCAUCCCACACGAGGCCGAAGGUGUCGGUUUUUAAAAUACAGAAAUUUGGUUCCAUGAGGGAUUAUCAAUAUACUGCUGGUGGGCCAAAUUCCAUCUGCUACUUGCCUUUGUAAAUAAAGUUUUAUUGAAACACAAACAUGCCCAUUAGUUUACUCUUGUCUGUGACUACAAGGGCAAAGUUGAAUAGUUGUUACAGAGACCAUCAGGCUCACAAAGCCUAGGUUAUUUACUAUCUGCCCAUUUACAGAGUAAGUUUGCCAGCCCUGGACUGGAUAAUUUUUUGAGUUCUUUCUAAUUCUAGAAUUCUUUAUAUAUUUUAUGAAACCCCUAAUGUUUAUAUAUUAAUUAUUUCAAUACCCGUGUCUUUACUGAGUCCCUCCUAUGAAGCAUACAUCAAGACAUAUGUGUGAUACAUUAACUAAACUUUUAACAGUAUCUUAAAUAGGAUUUCAAUGACUAACAGCUCUUGGAAAUAUCCAAGGUAACAUUUGGGGGCAAAUGUCUUAUGAUUUGAUUAUCAUUGGUAAAUAGAGCAUAUCUUUUUUUCCACUAACAAUGUUUAAGAAGUUAAAAAAAAAUCAAGAAAACCCCGUAUGGCACUAGAGACUUAUUGCAUUAAGACAUCAUCUUAACAGAUUGUUUAGUUUUGGUAAUAUAAUUUGACAUCUAAACAUAAGCUGAGAGGGAUCUCCCUCAAAACCUUUGAUAAUAUGAUUCAUUGUCAAAUGUUUGUUUUGCCUAUCUGGCACUCAUUAAUUAAUUCUUUUUAAUAUAGCUUGGAUUUACUGAUUUUGAAAAAGAGAAUUAUUCUUAUUGAUGUUGCUAAAAUAUCCAGGUGGCUUGAAUUUCACCAACUAGAUAGUUUAAUCUAGCACAUUUGUGUAGCCCUAAUCAAAUCUUUACUAACAGAUGUGAGAAGCCCAGUACUGGAGCUAAUGUUUGUGUCUCAAUGAUAAUUAAAUUAGCUUAAUAAGGAAAAUAAAUGAACAAUAAUCACCAAAAUUUUUCCCUAAACCUGUGUUAUAGUCUUAAAAACAUUUUUUCCCCUAUGGAGGCUUUUGGUAAUAAAACACAAAUUGAGGGAUUUUAAUUAAAAGAAAUUUUUUUUUCAAGAACUGGUCAUGUACUAAAUUGCUUAUAAUCAAAUAAUCAAGUAGCAUUUCUUUUAUUAUAAGAGCAAAACCUAUAAUUAAGCCAAAAUUCAAAUUUGUUUUUAAAGGUUGAAUAAUCUUUUGUUUUGGCCAAUAGUAUGUGGAUUUUUUUUUUAAGUAUUAUCUCUUUGUAGUAUUUUCUAAUGGAUAGGAAAUGCCUUUCUCAGGUUGAAUGAUUAUUUCCACAUAGAAUUAGUUCCUGCUUACAACAGUGCUCCACUAAUGUAAUGGCUCGGUGAAUUGGCUUUAUAAUUCAUUAAUCAUAGCUCACAUUGAGCUUUUGGCUCCAGGUGACAGUGCCCACCACAGGCCAAAUAACUUCUCAUUUAAAGGCAAUUUGUACAAAUAGGGAAGGUGAGAAUUCUCACAGUCCCAGAGGGAUUGAAGAGUUUUAAAAAACCAAGAUAAGGCAUUUUAUGGAAGACAGGUUGAUGGAAGAAAAGUGGCCAUUGGAGGAUGAGGCAGAUGGCUUUCCAGGGAGGCCCUGGAGCUGCCACCAUGGGGAAGGCCAUGUUGCAGCUGCUGAUCAGAGCACAUUGGACGGUGUUUCCGUGUGAACAUGAAGACAAUGCUGCCUCUGUUUCUGUGACGCUGUGCUCUGAUCUUGCUGGAGGCGAAGUGGUGUCAGCUGUGCUUACAGGACAGUCAGUGGUGGUAGAAAAGAGGCCAGUGUGACCUGUGAAGGACUGGGCCCCUCUCACUCAACCUGAGUGCCUGCAGUUGUGGCCACCUUUAUUUGUGUAUUCUACUGUAUUUAUUUAUUUGCCUGGCUAAUUAGCUCUGUGCCACAUUCCUAAGCUAGAUGUGUCCCUUCAUGUAAGUGAGAGGGAGACAGAAAGAAAGACUGAGGUGGGGGGUAGGAGAAAGAGAGGAAAGCAAGCAAGAAGAAAGAGAAAGAGAGAAGAAGAAAGGAAGAGGAAAGAAAGAGAGAAAGAGAAAGAGAAGGAAGGAAGGAGAAAGAGAAGGAAAGAAGGAGCCUUCUAAUUUUAUUUCAUUUCUCCAAUAAAUGUUCCUAUAUUAAGACUUUAGACAAAGAUUAGAAAUAUGAUUUGACAGAAAGUGUAUGGAUGUGUUGUUCUAUUGCAUUGUAAGUAAAGUAUCCAUGGCAAUAUACAAAUAAUACAGCUCCUACCCCUAUUCUCUGUUGUUACUUUCAUGUGUUGUCUUAACUUUUUAAAUUUCAAGAUAAUAUUGCGCUUAUUUAUUUUUCCAUGAGGAGGCCUAGGAUUUAGCUUGAUUAGAAAAGCUGUGGAAAAUGAAUGUGCUAAUUACUUUAAAUCAAAUUGAAAAUAAAUUUUAUCCUGUUUCAUGCAAAACA